AUGGAAGUUGUUGACCAUCUCAUGGGAGACAAAGAGCAACAGCUGAGGGUGGUAUCGAUCCAUGGAUUUGGAGGUCUUGGCAAGACCACACUUGCUAAUGAGGUGUAUCAUGAGCUUCGGGGGAGAUUUGAGUGCCAUGCUUUCGUGUAUGCUGGCCGUAACCAGCACAUACGGACCACUCUGUUGGAAAUGUUGUCUCAAGUCAGCGACGGGCAACCUGCAGGCUUGGAAUCAAUGGAGGAGCAGCAAGUCAUCAAACAACUAAGAGAAUCCCUCGAAAAAAAGAGGUACUUGAUUGUCAUUGAUGAUAUAUGUAUGCCAUCGGUCUGGAAAGUUAUCAAGUGCGCUUUGCGUGAUGGUAUGCAUGGAAGCAAGAUAAUUACAACAACCCGCAUUCACGACGUGGCCAAAUUAUGUUGCAACCGUCCAACUGAUACUAUCUAUCCGAUGGGUCAACUUGGUGAGGUUGACUCCAAAAAACUGCUAUCGAGCAGGAUAUUUGAUUUGGAAAGAAAACCACCAUCUGAUUCGGACGGUUUUCUGAACGACAUAUCCAAAAUAUGCGAUGGCGUACCACUAGCCAUUGCUGUCAUGGCUGGAUUAUUAUCCAGGAAGUUUUUGGAAUUGGCAGAUUGGAAGAAGGUUGAGGAGUAUGUUAUGUCAGGGCUGAAGCAGUACUCCAUGCUGCAAGGGAUAAGAAAGAUACUAUACCUUAGUUAUUCGGACCUUGCAUUGCCACUGAAGACUUGCUUGCUGUAUCUGAGUAUCUUUCCCAAGUAUUAUGAGAUCAAGAAGGGACGCCUGAUAUGGAGAUGGUCUGCCGAAGGAUUCAUCCCAGCAGGCGAAGCAAGUGCUUGGAAAAGGGGAGAAAGCUACUUCAACGCCCUCAUCAACACGAGGCUAAUUCAACCGGUGUUUGGCCACAACGACGACCAGCCUGUGGGAUGCACUGUCCACGGCGUGAUCCUUGAAUUCAUCGCGUCCCUGUCGAGCAAAGAGAACUUCGUCACGACGGACGCUGAAUUGGUUCUCGCUGCACCGCGAGACGCGAUCCGCCGACUCUCCCUCAGCAGCAAUCAGGACGAUGACAUCCUCAAGUCAGAAGCAGACAGUAUGAAUCUGUAUCAAGUCCGGUCCCUUACCCUCUUCAGGAUCGCCAAGUGGAUGGAACCUCACCUCAUAGAUUUCCAGUUGCUACGGGUGCUGGAUCUGGAAGACGUGGAAGGCCUGAAAGAUGAACAUCUUGCUGCUGGGUUAGGCAGGCUGUUCCUUCUCAAGUAUCUGGGUCUUGGCGGAGAAGGUGUCACUGUGCUCCCAAAAGAUGUUGAUGAACUCCAACACAUGGAAACCUUGGACGUUAGACGGACCAGUGUGAAGAACCUUUCUGCAGCAAACAAGCUACCAAAGCUAGCCAGCCUGCUCGCCACGGACGCCAAUGUGUUGCCAGCAGAAGUUGAUAAGAUGCACGAGCUGCAGGAAUUCUCCAUGGUCAGCAUCGGGGACCAAAACUCACUGGAAUGCUUGGCUAAGCUUGCCAAGCUGAAGAGGCUCAGGACUCUCGGGGUGAAGUGGUGUUUCGCGGAUGAUAAUGGCAGCACAGAAGCUCAGAGGAAGAGCUUCGUGACCUCCCUGGGCGAGCUUGGCCUGUCGAGCUCAUCUGGAAUCCCCACCUUUGAGUCCUUGUUCCUCGAUGCUGCUGGCGGUACAAGUUCCCUGGAUUUUCUGGUGAAGUCUUGGGUGCCUCCGCGUGCUCUUCAGAAGUUCAUGAUGACGAGCCCAAACUGCUACUUGAGUGGAGUUCCAGCAAACAUGGCACUGGACACCAGCUCGAGCAUCACCCACCUAGAGAUCGCCAUUGCUCAACUCGGAGACGAGGGUCUCAAGGUCCUGGGCGAGCUGCCGCUUCUGGUGUUCCUCAAGCUUCGCUGCCUACUGACCACAGAGAACUCGCUGACCAUCACGGCCGACAAGUUCCGCAGCCUUCAGGUGUUCAGCUUUGAGUGCCAGGACGGCGGCCUGGGAUUUGUCUUCGGAGAAGGUGCGAUGGCACAGCUUCGAAAGCUUCGGCUCUACUUCAAGGCUGGGGAGGAGAGCAGGCUUCAGGGAGUCGGCCAUCUCUCAGUUUCUUAUCUUUGCCAAGUCCACACCACCGUCUACUGUGCAGGCGUGGAGAUUCUUCCUUCAAGGAUGCAGAGAAAACCAUCACAGAACUGCUAUCCAACCACCCCAAGGAACCCACCUUGGAAAUCACCAAGCAUUAGAAAUCACAGAACUGAAGGAUGA
Molecule: ribosomal RNA, 2283 nt
Filed under: Triticum aestivum (bread wheat)
Lineage: Eukaryota; Viridiplantae; Streptophyta; Magnoliopsida; Poales; Poaceae
Description: partial small subunit ribosomal RNA
Source: RNAcentral